Molecule: long non-coding RNA, 529 nt
Filed under: Erythranthe guttata (spotted monkey flower)
Lineage: Eukaryota; Viridiplantae; Streptophyta; Magnoliopsida; Lamiales; Phrymaceae
Description: long non-coding RNA (EGUT_LNC003129)
Source: RNAcentral
GGUAUUAUCUUGCAGUCCUUCGCGUUGUCCAUCUAUAUGGUCUGCAAGCUUCUCAUAUUUCGGUGAGGUUAGUCGUGGUUAAACAAGAUUUUAUCAAUUAUUGAAGGCUUAUGUUUCAUGAUAAGAUGUUGUAAUCAAUCUAUAAUUGGUUUAGAUUUUGGUAUUGAUACUAACCAAAACAGAAGCAGGUGAUUUUGUCCAGUAUAUUUUGUUUGGGCUCAUAUGGAUAAAUCAUGGAGAGAUGGCGCAUGCCAAAAUAAAUACACUCAUGCCUCGAUGUCCUUGUGAUUCCAAUGAAAGCUAGUCCUUCACAGCAUAAUAUGAUACCGAUCAAUAGCUCCAGGACCUCCCUAGCAAGCUGGGCAGUGCCACUGUCUUUCAGGCUCAUUUAAUCUGCUCAACAAUUAACUCAUCGAGGGAUUGAAAAACGUUCCUUAAACCAUAGCUUCAUUGCUGUAUUUGUUUUUAUUCUUUCAUCAACUUUUUUCUUUCCAAAUAGCGUUUUGAUGCGCCACAAACAUUCUGGUAC